This 39-nucleotide small RNA is filed under the name Arabidopsis thaliana (thale cress). Its description in RNAcentral is "ATSL268980". The record is from RNAcentral. Lineage: Eukaryota; Viridiplantae; Streptophyta; Magnoliopsida; Brassicales; Brassicaceae.
CUGGAAGUCCUGUUACUUUUGGAGCAGAAGUUGACGCGU